This 75-nucleotide transfer RNA is filed under the name Candidatus Frackibacter sp. WG11. RNAcentral's name for it is "tRNA_Val_GAC". It matches the Rfam family "tRNA". Rfam says of the family: Transfer RNA (tRNA) molecules are approximately 80 nucleotides in length. Lineage: Bacteria; Bacillati; Bacillota; Clostridia; Halanaerobiales; Halobacteroidaceae. The record is from RNAcentral. RNAcentral also lists the same sequence under 2 other names.
GCGGACAUAGCUCAGGGGGAGAGCGCCACGUUGACAUCGUGGAGGCCGAUGGUUCGAUCCCAUCUGUCCGCACCA